AACGAACGCUGGCGGCAUGCCUAACACAUGCAAGUCGAACGAGACCUCCGGGUCUAGUGGCGCACGGGUGCGUAACGAGUGGGAAGCUGCCCUUAGGUUCGGAAUCACUCCCUGAAAGGGGAGUUAAUACCGGAUAAUGUCUUCGGACCUAAGAUUUAUCGCGUUUGGAUGGGCCCGCGUUGGAUUAGCUGGUUGGUAGGGUAAAAGCCUACCAAGGAGACGUUCCAUAGCUGGUCUGGUAGGAUGAUCAGCCACACUGGGACUGAGACACGGCCCAGUCUGCGACGGGAGGGAGCAGUGGGGAAUAUAGGACAAUGGGGGAAAGUCUGAUCCAGCCGCGUGGGGUGAGAGAUGAAGGCCUUAGGGUUGUAAAGCUGUUUUACCCGGGGUGAUAAUGACAGUACCGGGAGAAUAAGCACCGGCUAACUCCGUG
RNAcentral lists this ribosomal RNA (433 nucleotides) under uncultured bacterium. Its description in RNAcentral is "partial 16S ribosomal RNA". It matches the Rfam family "Bacterial small subunit ribosomal RNA", at positions 29 to 507 of the family's 1533-position model. The record is from RNAcentral.